GCUGCUCUUGCUACAGUAGUAUGCUGGGCAAUGUGAUAGAGCAGAUGUAAAUUUUUGCUGCCACGCAAUCUGAGUCCCGCGCCAUUUUCUUCCAUUCUGAGCCCAUACAGAGCAGCCCGCCACCCCUUCCUCCUACCUGGGGUUCCUGGUGCUAGCCACCCAUGCUGCCCCCUCUCCUGUUUCCCUGUGCUUUGUCUUGGAGCCAGGAAGAAAUGAAGUUUAAUUACUGCCUUUCAACACACGAACGCUCAGGGGAACAGGCAGCUUUGCCGCAGGUCAAUUUCAAAGGCCGAAUGUUUGACAGCCUUGAUUUAAAAAAGCUUAUUCAAAAAUGUUAAAUAAAGGCCUAAGUGACAUAAAGCUGAUUUUUUUUUUUUUUUUACUGGUCAG
This is a non-coding RNA of Pelobates cultripes (western spadefoot toad), 390 nucleotides long. The record is from the annotation of a GenBank genome assembly. NCBI's taxonomy places the organism in Eukaryota, Metazoa, Chordata, Amphibia, Anura, Pelobatidae.